GCUGAAUCUCGUGGUAGGGAAGUAAGGAGCAGACCAUUCGUAAGAUCCACCAGGGCAGCAGUUGAAAGAAUGGAGGUGUACGAUUAUGUGCUGACCCUAAAAACGGACCAGCCAUUCCUCUCAGAGUUUCAGCAUUAUAGAACACUGUGC
Alosa sapidissima (American shad) is the source of this 150-nucleotide long non-coding RNA. RefSeq lists it as uncharacterized. The transcript is spliced from 3 exons. Lineage: Eukaryota; Metazoa; Chordata; Actinopteri; Clupeiformes; Clupeidae. The record is from RefSeq and is a predicted model, not a curated record.